Molecule: ribosomal RNA, 254 nt
Filed under: uncultured bacterium
Lineage: Bacteria
Description: partial 16S ribosomal RNA
Rfam family: Bacterial small subunit ribosomal RNA
Source: RNAcentral
UACGUAGGGUGCGAGCGUUGUCCGGAAUUAUUGGGCGUAAAGAGCUCGUAGGCGGUGUGUUACGUCGGCCGUGAAAACCUGCAGCUUAACUGUGGGCGUGCGGUCGAUACGGGCAUCACUGGAGUUCGGCAGGGGAGACUGGGAUUCCUGGUGUAGCGGUGAAAUGCGCAGAUAUCAGGAGGAACACCGGUGGCGAAGGCGGGUCUCUGGGCCGAUACUGACGCUGAGGAGCGAAAGCGUGGGGAGCGAACAGG